AGCAGCAGUGGCGUAGUGGUUAAGAGCAGGUGCACUCUGAUCUGGAGGAACUGGGUUCGAUUCCCAGCUCUGCCG
RNAcentral lists this transfer RNA (75 nucleotides) under Sphaerodactylus townsendi. Its description in RNAcentral is "tRNA-Gln". Lineage: Eukaryota; Metazoa; Chordata; Lepidosauria; Squamata; Sphaerodactylidae. The record is from RNAcentral.